RNAcentral lists this transfer RNA (30 nucleotides) under Ovis canadensis (bighorn sheep). Its description in RNAcentral is "partial transfer RNA-Gly". Lineage: Eukaryota; Metazoa; Chordata; Mammalia; Artiodactyla; Bovidae. The record is from RNAcentral.
GUUAGUUUCGGUUUAAUCCGAAAAAGAACA